CCUACUCCUACAGGCAUUGCAGGUGUGGCUACUGUGGCACAUUUGCACCAGUAGGUGGAAGAGAGGAGAAAGGCUCAGUGUUCUUCCCUAUGAACAAUGAAGGAUUAAUACCCUAACAUU
This 120-nucleotide small nucleolar RNA is filed under the name Meriones unguiculatus (Mongolian gerbil). RNAcentral's name for it is "Small nucleolar RNA SNORA17 (ENSMUGG00000018776.1)". It matches the Rfam family "Small nucleolar RNA SNORA17". Rfam says of the family: snoRNA ACA 17 belongs to the H/ACA family of snoRNAs and is predicted to guide pseudouridylation of the 28S rRNA at positions U4659 and U4598. It shares the same host gene together with ACA43. Lineage: Eukaryota; Metazoa; Chordata; Mammalia; Rodentia; Muridae. The record is from RNAcentral.